AGUUACUACACAUUUGGAUCAACACUUCACUUCAAACGCUCUGUUGAAGUCUUUGUGCUUCCUGGUUUUAAUGUGAGCCAAUAAAGAGCUUAAGUGAAAUACAGGUGGACGCACCCAGAGAGAGAAAGAGACAGGAUGACUGGACCCAUGAAAAAUGUGCGCUCUCUGUGCUGUUCCCCACUCCGCUCCGGAGAAAGCUGCCCAGCUGCAUUCCUCACCAUGAUUUCCUAUUGUUGAUACGCUACAGAGACGCCCUGAUCCUGAAUGAUUGUCAUGCCUGUGGAUGCCACAUGCAAGUACCUGCAGAAUUGAAUUGUCCUUCCAACCCCAUAUUGACCUGUGCAUCCAUGUUCAUGGAAGAGCCCCGGCUCUUGUGCUCCCUCACAGAGAUGAGAGAGUGUUUGGAGGCUCAGGUGAAAAGGAAGGGCUGGACCAGAGGUGGGAGAAAGGGAGAGUGCCAGGAAC
Molecule: long non-coding RNA, 465 nt
Organism: Solea solea (common sole)
Lineage: Eukaryota; Metazoa; Chordata; Actinopteri; Pleuronectiformes; Soleidae
Exons: 3
Source: RefSeq, a predicted model, not a curated record